AGUAACGCGUAAACAACCUGCCCUUCGGAUGGGGAUAACAGCCGGAAACGGCUGCUAAUACCGAAUACGAUCUUUUCGUCGCAUGACGGAAAGAAGAAAGGAUGGCCUCUAUACAAAGCUAUCGCCGAAGGAGGGGUUUGCGUCUGAUUAGCUGGUUGGAGGGGUAACGGCCCAACAAGGCGAUGAUCAGUAGCCGGUCUGAGAGGAUGAACGGCCACAUUGGGACUGAGACACGGCCCAGACUCCUACGGGAGGCAGCAGAA
Molecule: ribosomal RNA, 263 nt
Filed under: uncultured Megasphaera sp.
Lineage: Bacteria; Bacillati; Bacillota; Negativicutes; Veillonellales; Veillonellaceae
Description: partial 16S ribosomal RNA
Rfam family: Bacterial small subunit ribosomal RNA
Source: RNAcentral